RNAcentral lists this ribosomal RNA (152 nucleotides) under uncultured fungus. RNAcentral describes it as "partial 5.8S ribosomal RNA". It matches the Rfam family "5.8S ribosomal RNA". Rfam says of the family: 5.8S ribosomal RNA (5.8S rRNA) is a component of the large subunit of the eukaryotic ribosome. The record is from RNAcentral. Lineage: Eukaryota; Fungi.
AACUUUAACAAUGGAUCUCUUGGCUCUCCCAUCGAUGAAGAACCAGGGAAAUGUGAUAAGUAAUGUGAAUUGCAGAAAUCAGUGAAUCAUCGAAUCUUUGAACGCACCUUGCACCUCUUGGUAUUCCAAAAGGUACACCUGUUUGAGUGUCA